GUGGGGAAUCUUGCGCAAUGGGCGAAAGCCUGACGCAGCCAUGCCGCGUGGAUGAUGAAGGUCUUAGGAUUGUAAAAUCCUUUCACCGGUGAAGAUAAUGACUGUAGCCGGAGAAGAAGCCCCGGCUAACUUCGUGCCAGCAGCCGCGGUAAUACGAAGGGGGCUAGCGUUGCUCGGAAUUACUGGGCGUAAAGGGAGCGUAGGCGGACAUUUAAGUCAGGGGUGAAAUCCCGAGGCUCAACCUCGGAACUGCCUUUGAUACUGGGUGUCUUGAGUGUGAGAGAGGUGAGUGGAACUCCGAGUGUAGAGGUGAAAUUCGUAGAUAUUCGGAAGAACACCAGUGGCGAAGGCGACUCACUGGCUCAUUACUGACGCUGAGGCUCGAAAGCGUGGGGAGCAAACAGGAUUAGAUACCCUGUAGUCC
RNAcentral lists this ribosomal RNA (424 nucleotides) under uncultured bacterium. RNAcentral's name for it is "partial 16S ribosomal RNA". It matches the Rfam family "Bacterial small subunit ribosomal RNA", at positions 354 to 796 of the family's 1533-position model. The record is from RNAcentral.